AGAGUUUGAUCCUGGCUCAGGACGAACGCUGGCGGCGUGCAUAAUACAUGCAAGUAGAACGCUGAAGUCUGGUGCUUGCACUAGACGGAUGAGUUGCGAACGGGUGGGUAACGCGUAGGUAACCUGCCUCAUAGCGGGGGAUAACUAUUGGAAACGAUAGCUAAUACCGCAUAACAGUAUUUACUGCAUGGUAGAUACUUGAAAGGAGCAAUUGCUUCACUAUGAGAUGGACCUGCGUUGUAUUAGCUAGUUGGUGGGGUAACGGCUCACCAAGGCAUCGAUACAUAGCCGACCUGAGAGGGUGAUCGGCCACACUGGGACUGAGACACGGCCCAGACUCCUACGGGAGGCAGCAGUAGGGAUCUUCGGCAAUGGGGGCAACCCUGACCGAGCAACGCCGCGUGAGUGAAGAAGGUUUUCGGAUCGUAAAGCUCUGUUGUAAGAGAAGAACGUGUGUGAGAGUGGAAAAUCCAUUACGUGACGGUAACUAACCAGAAAGGGACGGCUAACUACGUGCCAGCAGCCGCGGUAAUACGUAGGUCUCGAGCGUUGUCCGGAUUUAUUGGGCGUAAAGCGAGCGCAGGCGGUUAUUUAAGUCUGAAGUUAAAGGCCGUGGCUCAACCAUGGUUCGCUUUGGAAACUGGAUAACUUGAGUGCAGAAGGGGAGAGUGGAAUUCCAUGUGUAGCGGUGAAAUGCGUAGAUAUAUGGAGGAACACCGGUGGCGAAAGCGGCUCUCUGGUCUGUAACUGACGCUGAGGCUCGAAAGCGUGGGGAGCAAACAGGAUUAGAUACCCUGGUAGUCCACGCCGUAAACGAUGAGUGCUAGGUGUUGGGCCCUUUCCGGGGCUUAGUGCCGCAGCU
This 862-nucleotide ribosomal RNA is filed under the name uncultured bacterium. RNAcentral describes it as "bacterial SSU rRNA". It matches the Rfam family "Bacterial small subunit ribosomal RNA", at positions 8 to 853 of the family's 1533-position model. The record is from RNAcentral.